UUAGGCAUGCAAGUCGACGGUAGGAUACUUUCGGGUAUCUGAGAGUGGCGAACGGGUGAGUAACACGUAGGUGAUCUACCCUCAAGAUUGGGACAACCCAGGGAAACUUGGGCUAAUACCGGAUGAAAGCAGCAGUGAUGUUGUUUGAAAGGCGGCGUAAGCUGCCGUUUGGGGAUGAGCCUGCGCUCUAUUAGUUAGUUGGCGGGGUAAAGGCCCACCAAGGCGAUGAUAGAUAGGCGGCCUUAACGGGUGGUCGCCCACACUGGGAUUGAGAUACGGCCCAGACUCCUACGGGAGGCAGCAGUCGAGAAUAGUCUACAAUGGCCGAAAGGCUGAUAGUGCGACGCCGCGUGAACGAAGAAGCCCUUCGGGGUGUAAAGUUCUUUUAUAUGUGAGCAGUGCUUUUCAUGUUAACAGCAUGGGGAGAGAGAUAUUAGCAUAUGAAUAAGCAACGGCUAACUCCGUGCCAGCAGCCGCGGUAACACGGGGGUUGCGAGCGUUGUCCGGAAUUACUAGGCGUAAAGGGCAGGCAGGCGGAUUUAUAAGUUUUCUGUUUAAGGCAACGGCUCACCCGUUGUAAGGCAGGAGAUACUGUAGAUCUGGAAUGCGGUUGGGGAAGACAGAAUUCCUGGUGUAGCGGUGGAAUGCGCAGAGAUCAGGAGGAAUACCGAAGGCGAAGGCAGUCUUCCAAGCCGUAAUUGACGCUGAACUGCGAAGGUGUGGGUAUCAAACAGGAUUAGAUACCCUGGUAGUCCACACAGUAAACGAUAAUCACUGGGUGUCGGGUUCGAAGAGGAUUCGGUACCGUAGCUAACGCGAUAAGUGAUUCGCCUGGGGAGUACGAUCGCAUGUG
RNAcentral lists this ribosomal RNA (853 nucleotides) under uncultured bacterium. RNAcentral describes it as "bacterial SSU rRNA". It matches the Rfam family "Bacterial small subunit ribosomal RNA", at positions 49 to 894 of the family's 1533-position model. The record is from RNAcentral.